CCCUUAGAUGUUCUGGGCCGCACGCGCGCUACACUGACGAAUGCAACGAGCUUAUAACCUUGGCCGAAAGGGCUGGGUAAUCUCCAAAUUUCGUCGUGAUGGGGAUAGAUUAUUGCAAUUAUUAAUCUUCAACGAGGAAUGCCUAGUAAGCGCAAGUCAUCAGCUUGCGUUGAUUACGUCCCUGCCCUUUGUACACACCGCCCGUCGCUCCUACCGAUUGAAUGGUCCGGUGAAGCGUUCGGACCGUGGCCUUUGGACGGUUCGCCGUCUGUUGGCUGCGGGAAGUUCGUUAAACCUUAUCAUUUAGAGGAAGGAGAAGUCGUAACA
This 327-nucleotide ribosomal RNA is filed under the name uncultured eukaryote. Its description in RNAcentral is "partial 18S ribosomal RNA". It matches the Rfam family "Eukaryotic small subunit ribosomal RNA", at positions 1470 to 1796 of the family's 1831-position model. The record is from RNAcentral.